RNAcentral lists this ribosomal RNA (392 nucleotides) under uncultured bacterium. RNAcentral's name for it is "partial 16S ribosomal RNA". It matches the Rfam family "Bacterial small subunit ribosomal RNA", at positions 523 to 918 of the family's 1533-position model. The record is from RNAcentral.
AUACGGAGGAUGCGAGCGUUAUCCGGAUUUAUUGGGUUUAAAGGGAGCGUAGGCGGGAGCUUAAGUCAGCGGUUAAAUGGUGCGGCUCAACCGUGCCCUGCCGUUGAAACUGGGUUUCUUGAGAGUGCAAGAGGCGGAUGGAAUUCAUGGUGUAGCGGUGAAAUGCUUAGAUAUCAUGAAGAACUCCGAUUGCGAAGGCAGUCCGCUGGGGCACGUCUGACGCUGAUGCUCGAAGGUGCGGGAAUCAAACAGGAUUAGAUACCCUGGUAGUCCGCACGGUAAACGAUGAUUACCCGCUGUCGGCGGCAGACAGUCGGCGGCCAAGCGAAAGCGAUAAGUAAUCCACCUGGGGAGUACGACCGCAAGGUUGAAACUCAAAUGAAUUGGCGGGG